RNAcentral lists this transfer RNA (71 nucleotides) under marine eukaryotic metagenome. It matches the Rfam family "tRNA". From Rfam's summary of the family: Transfer RNA (tRNA) molecules are approximately 80 nucleotides in length. The record is from RNAcentral.
GGGCUGUAGCUCAGCUGGGAGAGCGCCUGCUUUGCAAGCAGGAUGUCAGGGGUUCGAGUCCCCUCAGCUCC